GAUGAACGCUGGCGGCGUGCCUAAUACAUGCAAGUCGAGCGAACGGACGAGAAGCUUGCUUUUCUGAUGUUAGCGGCGGACGGGUGAGUAACACGUGGAUAACCUACCUAUAAGACUGGGAUAACUUCGGGAAACCGGAGCUAAUACCGGAUAAUAUUUUGAACCGCAUGGUUCAAAAGUGAAAGACGGUCUUGCUGUCACUUAUAGAUGGAUCCGCGCUGCAUUAGCUAGUUGGUAAGGUAACGGCUUACCAAGGCAACGAUGCAUAGCCGACCUGAGAGGGUGAUCGGCCACACUGGAACUGAGACACGGUCCAGACUCCUACGGGAGGCAGCAGCAGGGAAUCUUCCGCAAUGGGCGAAAGCCUGACGGAGCAACGCCGCGUGAGUGAUGAAGGUCUUCGGAUCGUAAAACUCUGUUAUUAGGGAAGAACAUAUGUGUAAGUAACUGUGCACAUCUUGACGGUACCUAAUCAGAAAGCCACGGCUAACUACGUG
This 497-nucleotide ribosomal RNA is filed under the name uncultured bacterium. Its description in RNAcentral is "partial 16S ribosomal RNA". It matches the Rfam family "Bacterial small subunit ribosomal RNA", at positions 28 to 507 of the family's 1533-position model. The record is from RNAcentral.